CCCUUAGAUGUUCUGGGCUGCACGCGCGCUACACUGAAGCGUUCAACGAGUAUUCACCUUGCCCGGGAGGGUUGGGUAAUCUUUUGAAAACGCUUCGUGAUGGGGAUAGAUUAUUGCAAUUAUUAAUCUUCAACGAGGAAUUCCUAGUAAGCGCGAGUCAUCAGCUCGUGCUGAUUACGUCCCUGCCCUUUGUACACACCGCCCGUCGCUCCUACCGAUUGAAUGUUCCGGUGAGCUCUUCGGACUGCGCGGUCUGCAGUUUCUGCGUUCCGUGCGGAAAGUUGCGCAAACCUUAACAUUUAGAGGAAGGAGAAGUCGUAACA
This 323-nucleotide ribosomal RNA is filed under the name uncultured eukaryote. RNAcentral describes it as "partial 18S ribosomal RNA". It matches the Rfam family "Eukaryotic small subunit ribosomal RNA", at positions 1470 to 1796 of the family's 1831-position model. The record is from RNAcentral.